UAAGACGAACCGUGCGAACGUUGUUCGGAAUCACUGGGCUUAAAGGGCGCGUAGGCGGGCCGUCAAGUCCGGGGUGAAAGCCCCCAGCUCAACUGGGGAAGUGCCUCGGAUACUGCCGGCCUCGAGGGAGGUAGGGGCGUGCGGAACUUCCGGUGGAGCGGUGAAAUGCGUAGAUAUCGGAAGGAACACCGGUGGCGAAAGCGGCGCGCUGGACCUCUUCUGACGCUGAGGCGCGAAAGCCAGGGGAGCGAACGGGAUUAGAUACCCCGGUAGUCCUGGCCCUAAACGUUGGGUACUAGGUAGUGGACUUACAUGGGUUCACUGCCGAAGCAAAAGUGUUAAGUACCCCGCCUGGGGAGUAUGGUCGCAAGGCUG
RNAcentral lists this ribosomal RNA (375 nucleotides) under uncultured bacterium. Its description in RNAcentral is "bacterial SSU rRNA". It matches the Rfam family "Bacterial small subunit ribosomal RNA", at positions 521 to 896 of the family's 1533-position model. The record is from RNAcentral.